Molecule: ribosomal RNA, 433 nt
Filed under: uncultured bacterium
Lineage: Bacteria
Description: partial 16S ribosomal RNA
Rfam family: Bacterial small subunit ribosomal RNA
Source: RNAcentral
AACGAACGCUGGCGGCAUGCCUAACACAUGCAAGUCGAACGAGACCUUCGGGCCUAGUGGCGCACGGGUGCGUAACGCGUGGGAACCUGCCCUUAGGUUCGGAAUAACUCCCCGAAAGGGGUGCUAAUACCGGAUAAUGUCUUCGGACCAAAGAUUUAUCGCCUUUGGAUGGGCCCGCGUUGGAUUAGCCAGUUGGUAGGGUAAAAGCCUACCAAGGCCACGAUCCAUAGCUGGUCUGAGAGGAUGAUCAGCCACACUGGGACUGAGACACGGCCCAGACUCCUACGGGAGGCAGCAGUGGGGAGUAUUGGACAAUGGGCGAAAGCCUGAUCCAGCAGUGCCGCGUGAGUGAUGAAGGCCUUAGUGUUGUAAAGCUCUUUUACCCGGGAUGAUAAUGACAGUACCGGGUGAAUAAGCACCGGCUAACUCCGUG